GACGAACGCUGGCGGCGUGCUUAACACAUGCAAGUCGAACGGAAAGGCCCUGCUUUUGUGGGGUGCUCGAGUGGCGAACGGGUGAGUAACACGUGAGUAACCUGCCCUUGACUUUGGGAUAACUUCAGGAAACUGGGGCUAAUACCGGAUAGGAGCUCCUGCUGCAUGGUGGGGGUUGGAAAGUUUCGGCGGUUGGGGAUGGACUCGCGGCUUAUCAGCUUGUUGGUGGGGUAGUGGCUUACCAAGGCUUUGACGGGUAGCCGGCCUGAGAGGGUGACCGGCCAAAUUGGGACUGAGAUACGGCCCAGACCCCUACGGGAGGGAGGAGUGGGGAAUAUUGCAACAUGGGCGGAAGCCUGAUGCAGCAACGCCGCGUGCGGGAUGACGGCCUUCGGGUUGUAAACCGCUUUCGCCUGUGACGAAGCGUGAGUGACGGUAAUGGGUAAAGAAGCACCGGCUAACUACGUG
This 468-nucleotide ribosomal RNA is filed under the name uncultured bacterium. RNAcentral's name for it is "partial 16S ribosomal RNA". It matches the Rfam family "Bacterial small subunit ribosomal RNA", at positions 28 to 507 of the family's 1533-position model. The record is from RNAcentral.